AUGGAGUCUGGGCUGUGCUGGGUUUUUCUGGUUGCUCUGUUAACUGGUGUCCAGUGUGAGGUGCAGCUGGUGGAGUCUUGGGGAGGUCUGGUCCUGCCUGGGGGGUCCCUCAGACUCUCCUGUGCAGCCUCGGGAUUCACUUUUGAUGACUAUGCCAUGGACUGGGUCCGCCAGACUCCAGGGAAGGGGCUGGAGUGGGUCUCUCAUAUUAGCUGGAACGGUGCUAGCACAUACUACGCAGACGCCGUGAAGGGCUGGUUCACCAUCUGCAGAGACAACAGCAAUAACAUGCUGUAUCUGCAAAUGAACAGUCUGAGAGCUGAGGACAUGGCCAUGUACUACUGAGCAAGAGACACAGUGAGGGGUGCCAUUGUGAGCCCAGACACAAACCUUCUGUGG
Non-coding RNA from Microcebus murinus (gray mouse lemur), 399 nucleotides. The record is from the annotation of a RefSeq genome assembly. Lineage: Eukaryota; Metazoa; Chordata; Mammalia; Primates; Cheirogaleidae.